Molecule: microRNA precursor, 88 nt
Filed under: Ovis aries (sheep)
Lineage: Eukaryota; Metazoa; Chordata; Mammalia; Artiodactyla; Bovidae
Description: miRNA (ENSOARG00000022516.1)
Source: RNAcentral
GUAUUGGGUUGGCCAAAAAGUUCGUCCAGAUUUUUGUAAUAUUUUAUGGAAAAACCUGAACAAAUUUUUUGGCCAACCCAAUAUAAAG